GAGACAUAUUUUCUAACAGAUCGGGCCUUGGGUUUGGCUGGUAGAAGCUGGGACCGCCUAUAUUAGGACUUUGUGAUCAAAAAAAGUUUGGAUGGUUCCUCCACCCUGGGUUGUAGGUUGGUGCAUAGGGGUCAUUAAUAGAUCUCUGAUAAGUUGCAUUCACCUGUGCAUAACCAUUUUCAGUUUGGGUCAUGAGGUAGGGACACUCUUCUAUUACAUGAUUUGAGUCACCGCAUCCAUUGC
RNAcentral lists this long non-coding RNA (243 nucleotides) under Elaeis guineensis (African oil palm). RNAcentral's name for it is "long non-coding RNA (EGUI_LNC060307)". The record is from RNAcentral. Lineage: Eukaryota; Viridiplantae; Streptophyta; Magnoliopsida; Arecales; Arecaceae.